AGACUGUCCUGAGGGAUCGCUGAAACCAGGCGUGAAGUCAGCAGCCAUGGUCGGGUGAUGGAUUGUAAUUCACCUGUGACUUGCCUGUGAUACAUGGAAGAGACCAAAGUGGCAAAGCCCCGAGUCCUGGGACAGCUUGGCUGGCAGAGAGAACCAGAGAGGGAGGCGGUGGCUUCAGAGGGCGGAUCCCACAGACCUGCAGCUGGAGGACCAGAGAGUUUUGGAAGGUUUAGGGCGGCGUGAUGGAUGACAAGAGUGAAGAUUCCAUGUCCGUCUCCACCUUGAGCUUUGGUGUGAACAGACCCACGAUUUCCUGCAUAUUCGACUAUGGGAACCGCUACCAUCUACGCUGCUACAUGUACCAGGCCCGGGACCUGGCUGCGAUGGACAAGGACUCUUUUUCUGAUCCCUAUGCCAUCGUCUCCUUCCUGCACCAGAGCCAGAAGACGGUGGUGGUGAAGAACACCCUUAACCCCACCUGGGACCAGACGCUCAUCUUCUAUGAGAUCGAGAUCUUCGGCGAGCCGGCCACAGUUGCUGAGCAGCCGCCCAGCAUUGUGGUGGAGCUGUACGACCAUGACACUUAUGGUGCAGACGAGUUUAUGGGUCGCUGCAUCUGUCAACCGAGUCUGGAACGGAUGCCCCGGCUGGCCUGGUUCCCACUGAUGAGGGGCAGCCAGCCGUCGGGGGAGCUGCUGGCCUCUUUUGAGCUCAUCCAGAGAGAGAAGCCGGCCAUCCACCAUAUUCCUGGUUUUGAGGUGCAGGAGACAUCGAGGAUCCUGGAUGAGUCUGAGGACACAGACCUGCCCUACCCACCACCCCAGAGGGAGGCCAACAUCUACAUGGUUCCUCAGAACAUCAAGCCAGCGCUCCAGCGUACCGCCAUCGAGAUCCUGGCAUGGGGCCUGCGGAACAUGAAGAGUUACCAGCUGGCCAACAUCUCCUCCCCCAGCCUCGUGGUAGAGUGUGGGGGCCAGACGGUGCAGUCCUGUGUCAUCAGGAACCUCCGGAAGAACCCCAACUUUGACAUCUGCACCCUCUUCAUGGAAGUGAUGCUGCCCAGGGAGGAGCUCUACUGCCCCCCCAUUACCGUCAAGGUCAUCGAUAACCGCCAGUUUGGCCGCCGGCCUGUGGUGGGCCAGUGUACCAUCCGCUCCCUGGAGAGGUUCCUGUGUGACCCCUACUUGGUGGAGAGUCCAUCCCCACAGGGUGGCCCAGAUGAUGUGAGCCUACUCAGUCCUGGGGAAGACGUGCUCAUCGACAUUGAUGACAAGGAGCCCCUCAUCCCCAUCCAGGAGGAAGAGUUCAUCGAUUGGUGGAGCAAAUUCUUUGCCUCCAUAGGGGAGAGGGAAAAAUGCGGCUCCUACUUGGAGAAGGAUUUUGACACCCUGAAGGUCUAUGACACACAGCUGGAGAAUGUGGAGGCCUUUGAGGGCCUGUCUGACUUUUGUAACACCUUCAAGCUGUACCGGGGCAAGACGCAGGAGGAGACAGAAGAUCCAUCUGUCAUUGGCGAAUUUAAGGGCCUCUUCAAAAUUUAUCCCCUUCCAGAAGACCCAGCCAUCCCCAUGCCCCCAAGACAGUUCCACCAGCUGGCCGCCCAGGGACCCCAGGAGUGCUUGGUCCGUAUCUACAUUGUCCGAGCAUUUGGCCUGCAGCCCAAGGACCCCAAUGGGAAGUGUGAUCCUUACAUCAAGAUCUCCAUAGGGAAGAAAUCAGUGAGUGACCAGGAUAACUACAUCCCCUGCACGCUGGAGCCUGUAUUUGGAAAGAUGUUCGAGCUGACCUGCACUCUGCCUCUGGAGAAGGACCUAAAGAUCACUCUCUAUGACUAUGACCUCCUCUCCAAGGACGAAAAGAUCGGUGAGACGGUCAUCGACCUGGAGAACAGGCUGCUGUCCAAGUUUGGGGCUCGCUGUGGACUCCCACAGACCUACUGUGUCUCUGGACCGAACCAGUGGCGGGACCAGCUCCGCCCCUCCCAGCUCCUCCACCUCUUCUGCCAGCAGCAUAGAGUCAAGGCACCUGUGUACCGGACAGACCGUGUAAUGUUUCAGGAUAAAGAAUACUCCAUUGAAGAGAUAGAAGCUGGCAGGAUCCCAAACCCACACCUGGGCCCAGUGGAGGAGCGUCUCGCUCUGCAUGUGCUUCAGCAGCAGGACCUGGUCCCGGAGCACGUGGAGUCACGGCCUCUUUACAGCCCCCUGCAGCCAGACAUCGAGCAGGGGAAGCUGCAGAUGUGGGUCGACCUGUUUCCGAAGGCCCUGGGACGGCCUGGACCUCCCUUCAACAUCACCCCACGGAGAGCCAGAAGGUUUUUCCUGCGUUGUAUUAUCUGGAAUACCAGAGAUGUGAUCCUGGAUGACCUGAGCCUCAUGGGGGAGAAGAUGAGCGACAUUUAUGUGAAAGGUUGGAUGAUUGGCUUUGAAGAACACAAGCAAAAGACAGACGUGCAUUAUCGUUCCCUGGGAGGUGAAGGCAACUUCAACUGGAGGUUCAUUUUCCCCUUCGACUACCUGCCGGCUGAGCAAGUCUGUAUCAUUGCCAAGAAGGAUGCCUUCUGGAGGCUGGACAAGACUGAGAGCAAAAUCCCAGCACGAGUGGUAUUCCAGAUCUGGGACAAUGACAAGUUCUCCUUUGAUGAUUUUCUGGGCUCCCUGCAGCUCGAUCUCAACCGCAUGCCCAAGCCAGCCAAGACAGCCGAGAAGUGCUCCUUGGACCAGCUGGAUGAUACUUUCCACCCAGAAUGGUUUGUGUCCCUUUUUGAGCAGAAAACAGUGAAGGGCUGGUGGCCCUGUGUAGCAGAAGAGGGUGAGAAGAAAAUACUGGCGGGCAAGCUGGAAAUGACCUUGGAGAUUGUAGCAGAGAGUGAGCAUGAGGAGCGGCCCGCUGGCCAGGGCCGGGAUGAGCCCAACAUGAACCCUAAGCUGGAGGACCCAAGGCGCCCCGACACCUCCUUCCUGUGGUUUACCUCCCCAUACAAGACCAUGAAGUUCAUCCUGUGGCGGCGUUUCCGGUGGGCCAUCAUCCUCUUCAUCAUCCUCUUCAUCCUGCUGCUGUUCCUGGCCAUCUUCAUCUACGCCUUCCCGAACUAUGCUGCCAUGAAGCUGGUGAAGCCCUUCAGCUGAGGACUCUCCUGCCCUGUAGAAGGGGGCGUGGGGUCCCCUCCAGCAUGGGACUGGCCUGCCUCCUCCGCCCAGCUCGGCAAGCUCCUCCAGACCUCCCAGGCCUGAUUGUCCUGCCAGGGUGGGCAGACAGACAGAUGGACCGGCCCACACUCCCAGAGUUGCUAACAUGGAGCUCUGAGAUCACCCCACUUCCAUCAUUUCCUUCUCCCCCAACCCAACGCUUUUUUGGAUCAGCUCGGACAUAUUUCAGUAUAAAACCGUUUGAACCACA
This 3399-nucleotide small RNA is filed under the name Pongo abelii (Sumatran orangutan). RNAcentral describes it as "processed transcript". The record is from RNAcentral. Lineage: Eukaryota; Metazoa; Chordata; Mammalia; Primates; Hominidae.